Molecule: long non-coding RNA, 236 nt
Filed under: Carica papaya (papaya)
Lineage: Eukaryota; Viridiplantae; Streptophyta; Magnoliopsida; Brassicales; Caricaceae
Description: long non-coding RNA (CPAP_LNC005770)
Source: RNAcentral
CCAAACGCGAUCGGACGGUCAGAUUUAGACACAAUCAACGGCUCAGAUCCUCUUCCUAUUUAAACGCGAUCGGACGGCACAGUAUCAUAUCGCGAUGAAUGAUCUAGAUUCACUCCUUAUUUAAUCGCGAUCGGACGGUUCAGAUCAAAUGCGAUGAACGGUCUAAAUUAAAAGAGGACGGAUAUAAAUAACCCUCUUCACAGCAAACCCUAACCCUAGCCACCAGACCCCCCCAC